UAGGGAAUUUUCGGCAAUGGGCGAAAGCCUGACCGAGCAACGCCGCGUGAGGGAGGAAGUCCUUCGGGAUGUAAACCUCUGUUAUAAAGGAAGAACGGUAUCUGCAGGGAAUGGCAGAUAAGUGACGGUACUUUAUGAGGAAGCCACGGCUAACUACGUGCCAGCAGCCGCGGUAAUACGUAGGUGGCGAGCGUUAUCCGGAAUUAUUGGGCGUAAAGAGGGAGCAGGCUGCUGAACAGGUCUGUGGUGAAAGCCCGAAGCUAAACUUCGGUAAGCCAUGGAAACCGGACAGCUAGAGUGCGUCAGAGGAACGUGGAAUUCCAUGUGUAGCGGUGAAAUGCGUAGAUAUAUGGAGGAACACCAGUGGCGAAGGCGACGUUCUGGGGCGCAACUGACGCUCAUUCCCGAAAGCGUGGGGAGCAAAUAGGAUUAGAUACC
RNAcentral lists this ribosomal RNA (438 nucleotides) under uncultured bacterium. Its description in RNAcentral is "bacterial SSU rRNA". It matches the Rfam family "Bacterial small subunit ribosomal RNA", at positions 355 to 786 of the family's 1533-position model. The record is from RNAcentral.